This 2874-nucleotide long non-coding RNA is filed under the name Homo sapiens (human). Its description in RNAcentral is "non-protein coding lnc-SLC35G3-1:5". The record is from RNAcentral. Lineage: Eukaryota; Metazoa; Chordata; Mammalia; Primates; Hominidae.
GUAAACCUUGGGUGGACUGGGGAGAACUGAGGAGGGGAAGCGCUUUUUUGUUGCUUCUCUGUGUUUUCUAUUUUAUUUUAUUUAUUUUAUUUUUAGAUUUUCAGUUCUUAUUUCACCCAGGGAAGGAGACCUGGGUAUCCACCCCAUGUCCUCCAGAGAACUUCCCUGGCCCCGCUCGGAGUCUUCCUGGGACGCCACAGGCUCGGAGAGCGCUCCGCAGGUUUCUCCCCCGGCGCCUCCAAAUCUUUCGAUUCCUACUCGAAUUACUCCGUCAGCUGCUGGAAGAGGGGCAAGGGGUAUGGCGAGACGCGUUGGUACAUGGGGCACUGGGGGGAAGGGAAAGCCUCCCUCCUUCUCCUAGUAAUUCGAGAAUGUUGCGUCCGCCUCCUUUCUUUUGCUGGCGCUAGGGGCUCGGACCAGCACCUGCCAGGCAUAGGUGUGGCCACUGGGGCGAAACCUGGCAGGCUCUGGAAACAGCGUUUUACUGACAGGAAAGAGAAACUGUUCUUUGUAUUCAUCACCCACCGCAGACUUCCUCACGCCCGGGUCUUAGGCGGGGCUGUCAGAUUUCAGUGUGUUUCUCUUAAUUCUAGUACUAAAUUUGUACUGGGCGCUGGCGAAGGGCCUGGCUCCGCCACGCGCGGCCCUCUCGAACUGCCCGUGGGUACGGCGCGCGCUGCUGCCCUGUGUGGCCUGUGCGGGGAACCCGAGGGCCGAAGUGGGCCCCGCCGCAGCACAGGGGGACAAGAGAACCAGGAGCGGGCUGCCUGGGGGCAGAUUCGAACCCGUGCUCCCAGCGGAUAGAAGUAGCACUUGGGGACUCCUAAAAUAUUCAGCCCAAUCCUGAUUCCAGCUGCCCUCUCUAGGCACCUUUCCUCUACCCUUCUUCCAGUUUACAAUUCUGGUGAGUAGAUGUUUCUCUAUCUCUUCUCUUCCAACUCCUGCGCCCAGAGCCAGGAGGACUUCUGGAGCCCGCCCAGCAAGACCCUCUCUCUCCCAUCUUCUGCUCAAGGGCUCGAGGUCUCAGUGGACAGAGCUGAAGAAAAGCCGUCUAUGGAGCCUGCGCCAGGCGCAGACUGGGUCGUCGCAGUCUGGGUCGUCGCAGUCUGGGCCGGGGCGCUGGAAGUCUUACUCACUUCUCAAGAACCCGCAAGGGAUCAGGCCUGACCCUUUGCAAGUGACAGAAUCCAAAGCUUUGAGCUCAUGGGAAAGUGGCUGGAAAGAAGGUCACUGUAGGGCCGCACAGGUCUCUGGCGAGGCUACCCAAGAACAUUUAAAUCCCUGCCCAGAGAAGAAGAGGCUCCAGCUGUCCUGCACCUUCCUGGGAACUGGCAGUCCCUCCGCGCAGGGGUUCUGCAGCGACCGGCAGCGCGAGGAGACAAGGAUGGUGGCCAGUUAACAGAAAAUCAAGGCAGCGGGAAAGGUCUGGAAAACACCACCUACUAUCACCUCUGGAGCCUGGGAUUAUGGGAUAAGUUUUCGAUUUUUAAAUGUAUUGUCAAAUAGCUAAAGUACACGGAAAGUGCGAAAUAAUAGUAAAUUGAACACCUGUGUAUUCACCACACAGCUUAAGCAAUAACAUUAGCAAUAUUUGGGUACCCAGCUGGUCUCAUUCCCUCAUUCCACUUGUCCCCUACUCACCUGAUAGCCAGUACAAUUUUAUGAAUUUAAAGUUACUAAUUCCCAUGCAACUGUUUAUACUUUUAGUAAAUGUGUUUAUGUCCCUCAUCAACACAUGACACUGAUUCAACACAUGUAUAUGCGUUUAAGCUGCAUGUAAAUGGCAUCAUGUUGGCCAGGUGCAGUUACUCACGACUGUAAUUCCAGCACUUUGGAAGGCUGAGAGGGAAGACGGCUUGAGGCCCAGAGUUUGAGACCAGCCUGGGCAACAUAGCAAGACCCUAUCUCUAAAAAAAAAAAAUUGUUUGUUUGUUUGUUUGUUUGUUUGAGACGGAGUCUUGCUGUGUCACUCAGGCUGGAGUGCAGUGGCGCAAUCUCGGCUUGCUGCAAUGUCGGCCUCCGGGGUUCAAGCAAUUCUCCUGCCUUGGCCUCCCAAGUAGCUGGGACUACAGGCACAUCCCACCACGCCCAGCUGAUUUUUGUAUUUUUAGUAGAGACAAGGUUUCACCAUAUUGGCCAUGCUGGUCUACGAACUCUUGACCUCAUGAUCUGCCUGCCUCGGCUUUCCAAAGUGCUGGAAUUACAGGUGUGAGCCCCCGCGCCCAGCCAAAAAAAUUGUUUUAAAUUAGCUGGGUGUGGUGGUGCCUGCCUAUGAAGUCCCAGCUACUCAGGAGGCUGAAGUGGGAAGAUGGCUUGAGCCCAGGAGUUGAAGGAUGCUAUGAGCUCUGAUUGUGCCACUGCACCCCUGCAUGGGCAAUAGAGUGAGACCCUGUCUCUUUAAAAAAAAAAAAAAAAGUAUCAUAUUGUAUGUGUUCUGUAGAACUUGCUCCCACACUUUAACAUUUUGCUUUAAAGAUUUGUUCAUGUACUUAGAUCAUUCCUUUUCACUGCUUUAUGAGCUGAAUCAUUUCUGCUCUUCUUUCCAUCCAUACCCAUUGGUCUCCAAAGUAUCCAGGCCUCCCCAAAAGUUCCUGCAGGAGACCUCAGUUCCACUGGCUUUCAGGUCAUUAUUGUUCCAGCACUACUUCUCCAUUUCUGGUUCCAGCCCUUCUCUCCCACAUUCUCAAGCUUCUAGAGGGUCAUAAGAGAGGAAAAACGCCAAAUGCCUUUGAUAAAAUGUUGCCUUUCCAGUGGUAUGCAUGUUUGUGUGGAGUGGGAGGGAAGUGAGGGCAGAUGUGACUUACUCUCAGCAUUAAUUCAAGUUUAAAAGUAAAAUCUUUAGGUUUGCCUUGUCCAGUAAAAAAUGCCAAGAGC